RNAcentral lists this small RNA (131 nucleotides) under Salmonella enterica. RNAcentral's name for it is "RtT sRNA". It matches the Rfam family "RtT RNA". Rfam says of the family: This family represents a bacterial cis-regulatory element known as RtT RNA. The exact function of RtT is unknown although it is thought that it may be involved in changing the cellular response in relation to amino acid starvation. RNAcentral also lists the same sequence under 4 other names. Lineage: Bacteria; Pseudomonadati; Pseudomonadota; Gammaproteobacteria; Enterobacterales; Enterobacteriaceae. The record is from RNAcentral.
AUAUCUCUCCGUACGGGAAGGAUGAGAAGCUUCGACUAAAGUUCGAUUCGAGCGCAGCGAGAAAGCGUUGCCGCAGGCAACGACCCGAAGGGUGAGGAGCGGAGCGACGAAUAAUCCUUCCCCCACCACCA